AUAGAUUCAUUUUCAUCCAUCACUCACACAUUCAGAUUCACCACAAGAGAGAAGGGAGCUAGUUGCAAAGGAGGGAGACCUUGGAGCCGUCCUGGACCUUGUUGCCGUCCUGGACCUUGUUGCCGUCCUGGACCUUGUUGCCACCAUCUAGUUCUUCUGUUCUCUUUAUUCUAUCUAUAUAUUUCUUAUUUUCUAUAUUCAUAGUUAUGUCUAACUAAUCCAUUUAGUUAGGGCUUAGGAUGAAGCCCUAGUCAUGAAUAUUCAAUGUUAUGGAUGAUUUUAUAGUUAAUUGAUUUCCUU
Molecule: long non-coding RNA, 300 nt
Filed under: Prunus persica (peach)
Lineage: Eukaryota; Viridiplantae; Streptophyta; Magnoliopsida; Rosales; Rosaceae
Description: long non-coding RNA (PPER_LNC002258)
Source: RNAcentral